UAGGGAAUCUUCCGCAAUGGGCGAAAGCCUGACGGAGCAACGCCGCGUGAGUGAUGAAGGUCUUCGGAUCGUAAAACUCUGUUAUUAGGGAAGAACAAAUGUGUAAGUAACUAUGCACGUCUUGACGGUACCUAAUCAGAAAGCCACGGCUAACUACGUGCCAGCAGCCGCGGUAAUACGUAGGUGGCAAGCGUUAUCCGGAAUUAUUGGGCGUAAAGCGCGCGUAGGCGGUUUUUUAAGUCUGAUGUGAAAGCCCACGGCUCAACCGUGGAGGGUCAUUGGAAACUGGAAAACUUGAUUGCAGAAGAGGAAAGUGGAAUUCCAUGUGUAGCGGUGAAAUGCGCAGAGAUAUGGAGGAACACCAGUGGCGAAGGCGACUUUCUGGUCUGUAACUGACGCUGAUGUGCGAAAGCGUGGGGAUCAAACAGG
RNAcentral lists this ribosomal RNA (429 nucleotides) under Actinomycetes bacterium. RNAcentral describes it as "Actinobacteria bacterium partial 16S ribosomal RNA". It matches the Rfam family "Bacterial small subunit ribosomal RNA", at positions 355 to 776 of the family's 1533-position model. The record is from RNAcentral. RNAcentral also lists the same sequence under 1 other name. Lineage: Bacteria; Bacillati; Actinomycetota; Actinomycetes.